This 1285-nucleotide long non-coding RNA is filed under the name Lotus japonicus. RNAcentral's name for it is "long non-coding RNA (LJAP_LNC001525)". Lineage: Eukaryota; Viridiplantae; Streptophyta; Magnoliopsida; Fabales; Fabaceae. The record is from RNAcentral.
UUUAGGCUCAGGCUAAUGAAAAAAAACACCGUCUCCAAAUGGUAGCUGAACACGCCAUGUGUUUCAUGUUACAACUUACAAGUACUCUAUAUUAUGGAAUGAUUAUGGUAUCUUACACCUUGUUUUUUUUGUUAGUAGCUCAUAAUUGUAAGGGACUCACAGUAAAAGGAAAUUUAGGUGAAGAACAAUGAGGAAGGCUAGCACUAAGGUAGUAGUAGCAAAUGCAGAAAUGGAAGAAAUUAUCAAUUAAGAUUUAAGAGUAGAGCAUAGAGAAAUCCCAAAGAGGGCCCGAGGAAGGAGGAGACAAGUCACACUUUCUUCUCUCUUUUCAAUUUCCCAAUUUUCCCUUCAUUUCCCAAAGGUUAUCUUUGAGUGUAAUAAUGGGUGUCCUUUUCCUCUCACUUUUGCGGGGUUCAUUUUGAUUUCAUCAUCACCAUCCAUGUGUCUGAUCUGACCCGUAUGAUUCGACCUUAACCUGAGGUUGAAGUUAUGAUAAUCUUCCGGUAAUGAAGAUAAAUAAUGCCAAGUAGAGUUAAGGGUCUUCUUUGAUUGCAGUUUUUGAAAACUGUUUUUAAAAACUGUUUUUCAAGUAUAACUUGUUAUUCAGUAUACUUUGAUUUCAAUACAUUAAUCAGUUUGGUUAAAUAUGAGCUUUCUACAUUUAUAACUGGAAAUAUGCAAUGCCUUUUUCCCAGUUUUGUAAAGUACGUGUUACUUAUCUUCACAAUUGUUUGAAUCCAUUAGGCAUGAAGCUGAACAAGUGAUAGUAGUAGGGUACAUACUGCAUAAAUAGCUGAAAUAAGCACUCAAACGUUUGAAUUUGCCCACCAUAUAUUGAAUAACGUUUCACAAAGUGGUGGUGCUUAAAUGGAGUUUUAUGCUAAGUGAAAGUGUUUUUAGUUCUGUUUUAUAAUUUGGUAGUGUUUUUAUAUGUAAAUAGUCAUUUAUAUUUGAUUAGCUUAAGUACCUCUUCAACAUGAGCAUGGGUUAAAAGUAUAGAUUUUCUAUGUAUUGAAGCAGGGCUUUUAGCGGCGGUUGUAACCGCCCAAAAUUUCCGACAUUCUUUGCGGCGGUUCCACCCAUCGUUAAAUUAAAAGAUUAAGUGUGUAAAAAACAGUGUUAUUGGCGGUGGUUCAAGCUGCCUUUAAAUAUUUAACGUCAGUUUGCGUGGCGGUCCCAAACCGCCGGUAGAGUUGUCCGCGACACUCAAUUUAGCCGCGGUUGGCCAACCGCCGGGAGUCUUUUUUAGUUACAACCAUCGCUAAGUGUCAGUUUUGUGUUAGGC